RNAcentral lists this ribosomal RNA (506 nucleotides) under uncultured bacterium. RNAcentral's name for it is "partial 16S ribosomal RNA". It matches the Rfam family "Bacterial small subunit ribosomal RNA", at positions 29 to 523 of the family's 1533-position model. The record is from RNAcentral.
AGUGAACGCUGGCGGUAGGCCUAACACAUGCAAGUCGAACGGCAGCACAGAGGAGCUUGCUCCUUGGGUGGCGAGUGGCGGACGGGUGAGGAAUACAUCGGAAUCUACUCUGUCGUGGGGGAUAACGUAGGGAAACUUACGCAAAUACCGCAUACGACCUACGGGUGAAAGCAGGGGACCUUCGGGCCUUGCGCGAUUGAAUGAGCCGAUGUCGGAUUAGCUAGUUGGCGGGGUAAAGGCCCACCAAGGCGACGAUCCGUAGCUGGUCUGAGAGGAUGGUCAGCCACACUGGAACGGAGACACGGUCCAGACUCCUACGGGAGGCAGCAGUGGGGACUAUUGGACAAUGGGCGCAAGCCUGAUCCAGCCAUACCGCGUGGGUGAAGAAGGCCUUCGGGUUGUAAAGCCCUUUUGUUGGGAAAGAAAUCCAGCUGGCUAAUACCCGGUUGGGAUGACGGUACCCAAAGAAUAAGCACCGGCUAACUUCGUGCCAGCAGCCGCCGCAG